Molecule: ribosomal RNA, 425 nt
Filed under: uncultured bacterium
Lineage: Bacteria
Description: partial 16S ribosomal RNA
Rfam family: Bacterial small subunit ribosomal RNA
Source: RNAcentral
GUGGGGAAUAUUGGACAAUGGGCGAAAGCCUGAUCCAGCCAUGCCGCGUGAGUGACGAAGGUCUUCGGAUUGUAAAGCUCUUUUGGCGGGGACGAUAAUGACGGUACCCGCAGAAUAAGCCCCGGCUAACUUCGUGCCAGCAGCCGCGGUAAUACGAAGGGGGCUAGCGUUGUUCGGAAUUACUGGGCGUAAAGCGCACGUAGGCGGAUUUGCCAGUCAGGGGUGAAAUCCCGGGGCUCAACCUCGGAACUGCCCUUGAUACAGCAAGUCUUGAGUCCGGAAGAGGUGAGUGGAAUUCCUAGUGUAGAGGUGAAAUUCGUAGAUAUUAGGAAGAACACCAGUGGCGAAGGCGGCUCACUGGUCCGGUACUGACGCUGAGGUGCGAAAGCGUGGGGAGCAAACAGGAUUAGAUACCCGAGUAGUCC